RNA transcript from Fragaria vesca subsp. vesca, 1801 nucleotides. It is a transcript of the gene named beta-1,4-mannosyl-glycoprotein 4-beta-N-acetylglucosaminyltransferase-like, with no coding region annotated. The transcript has 5 exons. NCBI's taxonomy places the organism in Eukaryota, Viridiplantae, Streptophyta, Magnoliopsida, Rosales, Rosaceae. The record is from RefSeq and is a predicted model, not a curated record.
CAAAAGUCAGAACCCUUGAGACACUCCACAUUUCCGACCUAUUUGGUUUAGUCCACACUGUCUUGUUAAGAAGCACAUUUGUGUGAUGCGAUUAGCCAAAUAUAUUAUCACUUUUGCUAUGGCGUAAGAUUGUACUUGGUUUUCCUACUCUCUUUAUGAGACAUGCAUAUAUCAGAGGCUUCAUUAACUUUAGGCAUUGUUAUAGGCUUUGCCGUCCUCCUUUGCUCUCUUGUACCUGCGGACACUAGAGGAAGUUCUCUUGAUAUGCGUUUUGUAAAUUGGGGUAUAGGCACCACGUCCCGUUAUGGAUUCCGCGGUUUCUUUAAUCAAGGCUUGAUGGCAGCACCACCCGGCUAUACUUUCAAAAAGAAAAGAAAUAUCCUUCACGGCAUGGCACCACGAUCUCUUCGUCCUAUUUCCAGACGAACUCCACGCAACUUCUUUUAUCUCCUACUGUUGAUAUUUGUGUCUGCAUUUUAUUCAAAUAGGAACAGGUUUGCCUUUUGCUAGAGGAAAAAGUUGUGCACCAUGUCUUUCCUGGCACAGCUCGAAGUGAGGUUCACAUGCAAACCCCUUCAAAUAUGAGAGAAUGCAACGUGCAGCUAUGGAUGUGUUACUUCGACAGGCAGGGAUUUCCUAUGGCGAUAUCCUGAUAAUGGCGGAUACUGAUGAGAUCCCUAGCACGAAGGUUUUGAAACUGUUGCAAUGGUGUGAGGGAAUCCCUUCUGAAUUGCAUCUUGAGAUGAAGCAUUACCUGUACUCAUUUGAGUUCCCCAUGGACAGCAUCUGGAAGACUGCAGCCACUAUCUACAGCAAGGAUACCAGGUACACGCAUUCGAGGCGUACUGAUGACCUGCUCUCUGAUGCAGGAUGGCAUUGUAGUUUUUGCUUUCGGCACAUUGAGGAGUUUGUGUUCAAGAUGAGUGCUUAUAGCCACGCAGACCGUGUGUGGCGGAGAGAUUUUCUGGAUUACGGAAGAAUACAGAAGCUCAUUUGUCAAGGAGAUGAUCUUUUCGAUAUGUUGCCUGAAGGGUACACAUUCAAGGAAGUGAUCAGCAAGAUGGGAUCGAUUCCCAAAUCAGCUUCUGCUAUUAACCUUCCAGCUUAUCUGAUAAAGAAUGCGGACAAAUUUAGGUUCCUUCUCCCUGGAGGCUGUAUCAGAGAGACUGGUAGCUCUUCUAACUUUGCUAAGGAAAAUAGUCAUUCUGAUCUUAGUGUUCUUUAGGACAUCGAGAUAGUUAACCUUCUCUUUAUCUUGUCCUUGGUGAGGAUCAUGCGGUUAAGUGUUCAAGUCAAAUAUGCUAGCUAGUUAUGUUAGGAGAUAUAAAGUAUGGUGUUCAAGUCUAGUACUUCCGCAACAAGAAUCAUUGUGAUCUUUAUGGACAUUCUCAUGGUUCCUUAACUUCAACCAUUCUGGAGAAUGCUACAACAUGAAUCAAUCUUCUCUUAAUUAACAUGCUUGGUAAUUCUUGUUCAUCAAAAAUAAAAUAUUAUGAGAAUAUAAAAUUAAUAAUGAAAGUAUGAAACUCACAUAUUCUCUGAGGUUCUUUUCUUGCCAAGGGAACCACUGUGGUUAAGACAUCAGAGUUUGGAGACCUCUCUCAAUACAAUGACUUCUUCGAAAACUUGGUUUACAAGCCUCCUCCUCCUCCUCCUCCUCCUGUGUCUGAUGAUCAACAUAGAAAUCAUAUCCUUUCUCUCGGAUUUGCUCAACUCACAGAACUCUAUACUAUUGUGAUCCAUAUCUUCCUCAAGAAGGUUAAGUUUCUGCAUCCGCGAUGUGAGCAAGUCAUCAUCCUUG